GACGAACGCUGGCGGCGUGCUUAACACAUGCAAGUCGAACGGAAAGGCCCUGCUUUUGUGGGGUGCUCGAGUGGCGAACGGGUGAGUAACACGUGAGUAACCUGCCCUUGACUUUGGGAUAACUUCAGGAAACUGGGGCUAAUACCGGAUAGGAGCUCCUGCUGCAUGGUGGGGGUUGGAAAGUUUCGGCGGUUGGGGAUGGACUCGCGGCUUAUCAGCUUGUUGGUGGGGUAGUGGCUUACCAAGGCUUUGACGGGUAGCCGGCCUGAGAGGGUGACCGGCCACAUUGGGACUGAGAUACGGCCCAGACUCCUACGGGAGGCAGCAGUGGGGAAUAUUGCACAAUGGGCGGAAGCCUGAUGCAGCAACGCCGCGUGCGGGAUGACGGCCUUCGGGUUGUAAACCGCUUUCGCCUGUGACGAAGCGUGAGCGACGGUAAUGGGGAAAGAAGCACCGGCUAACUACGU
This 467-nucleotide ribosomal RNA is filed under the name uncultured bacterium. RNAcentral describes it as "partial 16S ribosomal RNA". It matches the Rfam family "Bacterial small subunit ribosomal RNA", at positions 28 to 506 of the family's 1533-position model. The record is from RNAcentral.